GGUCCCAUGGCAGUGCUGCAGCGAUAGGUGCUGCUUAUAAGGGUGCGCUCUGCCUGCAUCAAGCCCCUGCAGACUGAGCAGAGGAAACUAGAGAGGUGUGAGCAGCAGGAGGACAUCCAGGUGCAGAGUACCUUUAGUCACUGUCAGGUGGACAGGAACCACGUCUCGUGGAAGAAUCACCCCAGCACACUGUUUAAGACCAUCAUAAAACAUUUGACAUCCUGUCUUUUUGGACUGAGUAGUGCUGCUGACCGCAUCUGGAAGGUGCUGAUGGAUGUUUCUGGAGCCAACAUUUGAGGUUUCAUCUACUUCUACUUCAAGACCACCUUAUAUGUUGCUGGUGCUUCAAAGGGAUGACAAUUCCAAAAAUCAUGCUGAUAGGAGGACCAAGCAAGAAACUAUCCACAGCAGGAAACUUGAUGAAAGGGGGAAGUUUUCUGCAACCAGAAAUAAACAAAAUCAGGUCAUUUGACCAAAACUCCUGUCCAGGUGCACUAUCAACAGCAGAACUGGGUUAAGGACUCCACUAUCAUGUCAGAGACGUCCGUUUUGACAAUGCUGUGCUGAGAGUUGAAGUAGACCAUGGAGAGCGGCCGGC
Long non-coding RNA from Austrofundulus limnaeus, 598 nucleotides. RefSeq lists it as uncharacterized. Lineage: Eukaryota; Metazoa; Chordata; Actinopteri; Cyprinodontiformes; Rivulidae. The record is from RefSeq and is a predicted model, not a curated record. The transcript has 6 exons.